GAUGAACGCUGGCGGCGUGCCUAAUACAUGCAAGUCGAGCGAACAGACGAGGAGCUUGCUCCUCUGACGUUAGCGGCGGACGGGUGAGUAACACGUGGAUAACCUACCUAUAAGACUGGGAUAACUUCGGGAAACCGGAGCUAAUACCGGAUAAUAUAUUGAACCGCAUGGUUCAAUAGUGAAAGACGGUUUUGCUGUCACUUAUAGAUGGAUCCGCGCCGCAUUAGCUAGUUGGUAAGGUAACGGCUUACCAAGGCAACGAUGCGUAGCCGACCUGAGAGGGUGAUCGGCCACACUGGAACUGAGACACGGUCCAGACUCCUACGGGAGGCAGCAGUAGAGAAUCUUCCGCAAUGGGCGGAAGCCUGACGGAGCAACGCCGCGUGAGUGAUGAAGGUCUUCGGAUCGUAAAACUCUGUUAUUAGGGAAGAACAAAUGUGUAAGUAACUAUGCACGUCUUGACGGUACCUAAUCAGAAAGCCACGGCUAACUACGUG
Molecule: ribosomal RNA, 497 nt
Filed under: uncultured bacterium
Lineage: Bacteria
Description: partial 16S ribosomal RNA
Rfam family: Bacterial small subunit ribosomal RNA
Source: RNAcentral